CAAUAGCGUAUAUUAAAGUUGUUGCAGUUAAAAGCUCGUAGUUGGAUCUCAGGUCCCGGCUCGCGGUUCACUUCGCGGUGCUUACUGCCCGUCCGGACCUACCCGCCGGUUUUCCCUUGGUGCUCUUCAUUGAGUGUCUCGGGUGGCCGGAACGUUUACUUUGAAAAAUUAGAGUGUUCAAAGCAGGCGCUUCGCCUGAAUAAUGGUGCAUGGAAUAAUGGAAUAGGACCUCGGUUCUAUUUUGUUGGUUUUCGGAACUCGAGGUAAUGAUUAAGAGGGACAGACGGGGGCAUUCGUAUUACGGUGUUAGAGGUGAAAUUCUUGGAUCGCCGUAAGACGAACUACUGCGAAAGCAUUUGCCAAGAAUGUUUUCAUUAGUCAAGAACGAAAGUCAGAGGUUCGAAGACGAUCAGAUACCAU
Molecule: ribosomal RNA, 420 nt
Filed under: uncultured eukaryote
Lineage: Eukaryota
Description: SSU rRNA
Rfam family: Eukaryotic small subunit ribosomal RNA
Source: RNAcentral